AGGGCGCACGGUGGAUGCCUUGGCACUAGGAGCCGACGAAGGACGUGACAAACGACGAUAUGCCUUGGGUAGCUGUAAGUAAGCGAUGAUCCAGGGAUUUCCGAAUGGGGGAACCCAACAGGUAGUACCUGUUACCCACAUCUGUUAAGGAUGUGAGGAGGAAGACGCAGUGAACUGAAACAUCUAAGUAGCUGCAGGAAGAGAAAGCAAAAGCGAUUGCCUUAGUAGCGGCGAGCGAAACGGCAGGAGGGCAAACCGAAGAGUUUACUCUUCGGGGUUGUAGGACUGCAAUGUGGACUCAAAGAUUAUAGAAGAAUGAUUUGGGAAGAUCAGCCAAAGAGAGUAAUAGCCUCGUAUUUAAAAUAGUCUUUGUACCUAGCAGUAUCCUGAGUACGGCGGGACACGUGAAAUCCCGUCGGAAUCUGGGAGGACCAUCUCCCAACCCUAAAUACUCCCUAGUGACCGAUAGUGAACCAGUACCGUGAGGGAAAGGUGAAAAGCACCCCGGGAGGGGAGUGAAAUAGAACCUGAAACCGUGUGCCUACAACAAGUUCGAGCCCGUUAAUGGGUGAGAGCGUGCCUUUUGUAGAAUGAACCGGCGAGUUACGUUAUGAUGCGAGGUUAAGUUGAAGAGACGGAGCCGUAGGGAAACCGAGUCUGAAUAGGGCGCCUUAGUAUCAUGACGUAGACCCGAAACCAUGUGACCUACCCAUGAGCAGGUUGAAGGUGCGGUAAGACGCACUGGAGGACCGAACCAGGGCACGUUGAAAAGUGCUUGGAUGACUUGUGGGUAGCGGAGAAAUUCCAAACGAACUUGGAGAUAGCUGGUUCUCUCCGAAAUAGCUUUAGGGCUAGCGUCGACAUUAGAGAUUCUUGGAGGUAGAGCACUGUUUGGGUGAGGGGUCCAUCCCGGAUUACCAAUCUCAGAUAAACUCCGAAUGCCAAUGAAUUAUGGUCGGCAGUCAGACUGCGAGUGCUAAGAUCCGUAGUCGAAAGGGAAACAGCCCAGACCACCAGCUAAGGUCCCAAAAUAAUUGUUAAGUGGAAAAGGAUGUGGGGUUGCACAGACAACUAGGAUGUUAGCUUAGAAGCAGCUAUUCAUUCAAAGAGUGCGUAAUAGCUCACUAGUCGAGUGACCCUGCGCCGAAAAUGUACCGGGGCUAAAACAAUUUACCGAAGCUGUGGAUACCUUUAUAGGUAUGGUAGGAGAGCGUUCUAUGUGUGAUGAAGGUAUACCGUGAGGAGUGCUGGAACGCAUAGAAGUGAGAAUGCCGGUAUGAGUAGCGAAAGACAGGUGAGAAUCCUGUCCACCGUAAGACUAAGGUUUCCAGGGGAAGGCUCGUCCGCCCUGGGUUAGUCGGGACCUAAGGAGAGACCGAAAGGUGUAUCCGAUGGACAACAGGUUGAUAUUCCUGUACUAGAGUAUGUAGUGAUGGAGGGACGCAGUAGGCUAACUAAAGCAGACGAUUGGAAGAGUCUGUCUAAGCAGUGAGGUGUGAAUUGAGUCAAAUGCUUAAUUCUAUAACAUUGAGCUGUGAUGGGGAGCGAAGUUUAGUAGCGAAGUUAGUGACGUCACACUGCCAAGAAAAGCUUCUAGCGUUUAAACAUACUCUACCCGUACCGCAAACCGACACAGGUAGUCGAGGCGAGUAGCCUCAGGUGAGCGAGAGAACUCUCGUUAAGGAACUCGGCAAAAUGACCCCGUAACUUCGGGAGAAGGGGUGCUGACUUAAAGUCAGCCGCAGUGAAUAGGCCCAAGCAACUGUUUAUCAAAAACACAGCUCUCUGCUAAAUCGUAAGAUGAUGUAUAGGGGGUGACGCCUGCCCGGUGCUGGAAGGUUAAGAGGAGUGCUUAGCGUAAGCGAAGGUAUGAAUUGAAGCCCCAGUAAACGGCGGCCGUAACUAUAACGGUCCUAAGGUAGCGAAAUUCCUUGUCGGGUAAGUUCCGACCCGCACGAAAGGCGUAAUGAUUUGGGCACUGUCUCAACGAGAGACUCGGUGAAAUUUUAGUACCUGUGAAGAUGCAGGUUACCCGCGACAGGACGGAAAGACCCCAUGGAGCUUUACUGCAGUUUGAUAUUGAGUGUCUGUACCACAUGUACAGGAUAGGUAGGAGUCUAAGAGAUCGGGACGCCAGUUUCGAAGGAGACGCUGUUGGGAUACUACCCUUGUGUUAUGGCCACUCUAACCCAGAUAGGUGAUCCCUAUCGGAGACAGUGUCUGACGGGCAGUUUGACUGGGGCGGUCGCCUCCUAAAAGGUAACGGAGGCGCCCAAAGUUUCCCUCAGAAUGG
This 2293-nucleotide ribosomal RNA is filed under the name Streptococcus pneumoniae. RNAcentral's name for it is "bacterial LSU rRNA". It matches the Rfam family "Bacterial large subunit ribosomal RNA", at positions 14 to 2330 of the family's 2925-position model. The record is from RNAcentral. Lineage: Bacteria; Bacillati; Bacillota; Bacilli; Lactobacillales; Streptococcaceae.